AAACAUGGCUCUUUGAGAUUUAUAUAUAAAGAGUCGGGCCUGCCCAGUGAUGUAUUUUUAACGGCCGCGGUACUCUGACCGUGCGAAGGUAGCAUAAUCAUUUGCCCUAUAAUUGAGGGCUAGUAUGAAUGGUUUGACAUGAGCAUAACUGUCUCCUUAAAAUUUUAUAAAAUUUGGUUUUUAGGUGAAGAAACCUAAAUUAAAUUGAAAGACAAGAAGACCCUAUCGAGCUUUAGAAUAAUUAAUUAAAAAAUAUAAAUAAAAUAAUUAAUUUUAAUUAAAAACUUUGGUUGGGGCGACUGAGGAACAUAUAAAGCUUCCUUAAUUAAACAAUGCUGAUAAGCAAUGAUCCAGGAAAUCUGAUUAAAAAAAUUAGUUACCGUAGGGAUAACAGCAUAAUCUUUUUUGAGAGCUCUUAUCGAAAAAAAGGUUUGUGACCUCGAUGUUGGACUAGGAUAUCCUAAAGAUGUAGAAGUCUUUAAUGGUUGCUCUGUUCGAGCAUAAAAAUCCUACGUGAUCUGAGUUCA
This 527-nucleotide ribosomal RNA is filed under the name Oncomelania hupensis hupensis. RNAcentral describes it as "partial large subunit ribosomal RNA". It matches the Rfam family "Bacterial large subunit ribosomal RNA", at positions 1811 to 2613 of the family's 2925-position model. The record is from RNAcentral. Lineage: Eukaryota; Metazoa; Mollusca; Gastropoda; Littorinimorpha; Pomatiopsidae.